This 482-nucleotide ribosomal RNA is filed under the name uncultured bacterium. RNAcentral's name for it is "bacterial SSU rRNA". It matches the Rfam family "Bacterial small subunit ribosomal RNA", at positions 17 to 518 of the family's 1533-position model. The record is from RNAcentral.
UUCUGGCUCAGGACGAACGCUGGCGGCGUGCUUCAUACAUGCAAGUCGAACGAGAAGCUUACUUCGGUAAGUGGAAAGUGGUGGACGGGUGAGUAAUGUGUAGAGAAUCUGCCCUGAAGUGGGGGACAACAGAGGGAAACUUCUGCUAAUACCCCAUAUGAGCGUAGUUGCGAUACUAUUCUUGAAAGAUUUAUCGCUUCAGGAUGAGUCUGCAUCUGAUUAGCUAGUUGGGGGUGUAAUGGACCACCAAGGCGACGAUCAGUAGCUGGUUUGAGAGGAUGAUCAGCCACAAUGGGACUGAGACACGGCCCAUACCCCUACGGGAGGCAGCAGUAGGGAAUUUUGCGCAAUGGGCGAAAGCCUGACGCAGCAAACCGCCGCGUGAUCGCAGACGGCCUUCGGGUUGUAAAGAUCUGUCAGUAGGGACGAACAAUGACUGUACCUACAGAGGAAGCACCGGCUAACUCCGUGCCAGCCGCUGC